Molecule: long non-coding RNA, 3854 nt
Filed under: Triticum aestivum (bread wheat)
Lineage: Eukaryota; Viridiplantae; Streptophyta; Magnoliopsida; Poales; Poaceae
Description: long non-coding RNA (TAES_LNC018198)
Source: RNAcentral
UAAAUGAGCAUUGAGACAUCUCCAUGGGUGUAUUAAAAAAAUCAGAUAACAUUCCCCUAAAAAAAUCUGAUAACAAAUACUCCCUCCCUGCCAUAAUAUAAGACGGUUUUGCAGUUUAAAUUGAAAUGCAAAAGUGUCUUUUAUCAUAUGACAGAGGUAGUAGUUGUAUCAUAUCAGUGAUUCCCUACAAAAAAAAGGUAUCACUGAACGUAUUGGAUCCCAUCUUCACCAAGUGGUAGCUCAGACUGCCUUGUACUCCCUCUGUAAAGAAAUUCUAAACGCUCUUAUAUUUCUUUACGGAGGGAGCACAAAGUUUGCAGCCAGUAAUCAGAAGUCCUAUAGAAAUAAAAUGUAUAAGAAAUUGAAUACCGGCACCCGAGUCCAAUAGCAGUGGACUCUGCCUUGUAUGCUGAACCUUAUUGUUUGUGAGUGACUGAAAGUAAUACCAUCAGCAUUGGAGUGUAUCCAGAUUCAGGCAUGUGUAUCUAUUACACCUCAAAUAUGGAUUAGCUUCCAUGCAAAACAUAGCUUAACAAAUUGUACUCUACAAUACCUAACAUUGUACUAUUUUGAAGAUCUCAGGAGCAGGUUUUUCAUUCCUUGGUCGUGUGUCUAAAUCUGCACAUUAAUUAGGUCAUAGCACUCAAUAAUCAUCAAACAAAUUAGUGUGGGGGAAGUACCACUCACCGAAGCAUAGGAAUGGCUUGGGUAAUGACGUCCUUGACAACUACAAAUCACAAUGUCAAGGCACAUCCAGGAUCGCCGCAUCUACCUCCUCACUAAUUGAAAUGUGCCCUUCGCUGCAGCAUAUAGUGGCCACCAGGACGUGGAGGGCUAUCUCCCCUAUAUAUAUAUUGUCAUAACAUUUAGAUAUCAAAAUCCUUGAAUGGCAUAGAGACAUGACCUCCAAGAGAAUCAUGGGAAAAGUCUUACUAUCCUCCUUAUUUCUGCAUGUAAGCCAACACAAACAUGAACACCACGUCUAGUGAUCCCUAUAUCGGCUCAAAAGGCCAUAACCUGUUUCUGACCUCUAUUAGAAACCUGCCUCAGCUAGUCGAUGCGUCAUCUGAGACUGAGCUGCUCGUUAGUGCUUGCUGAUGGCGGCUCCAUCUUUUUCGUGAAUAGAAAUCUUCGUCUCGCUUCCUCCAAAAAGCUCACUGUCUACCACCUAUGCUUCUGCGACGAUGGACAUUGUGCUGCAAAAGGGAAAAGUAAAAUAGUUUGAUAAACUUUUAGGUACCAGCAGAAGCUGAUUGAACUGAAUAUCUUAAACUUGUGAUAUGAAAAACAUAGUAAAUAUUCAUCUUCUAUGAAAGAUAAAUGCAAUAUGGCUAAUCUAGUAAAGGAAUUUCGAAUGUCAGCUUAACUAACUCUGUACCAUCAACUAAAUUGUGAAGAACCCAUUUUUUCACCAUAAAUAGAAACCAAAAAACUUCCAAUAUAUCAGAUAAAGUAAACUGAUAAAUAACUCUUUUCCAUCCGAAAUUCCAUAAGAUCCAGAUCCAUUCAUGUGAAUAAUGAGCCUAUCACAAAUUUGUCAUCUAUUAUAUGAAUCAAUGGGUGCAAGGUAGCAAAUGUGCUAGAGAGAGGGCUGCUUCAGGGCAAUCUUAUUGGGUGUCAGCAGUCAGCACCAACCUUAAGAAAUAAUAUCUAUUGUAGAGCAGUUAACAAAAUGAACCACAAACUUCAUGUAUUUACGUGAAUAGAAUUAUAAUCAACAGGGAACAGGGUUACAGUAGACAGAAGCCUUGGAGCCGAUUGAAAUCACAGACAAUUGAAUUUUCUAAAUUUGAUCUUCACAACUACGAAAAAAGGAGAAUAAAUGUAGGACGUCAUUUACACAUGCAAUCCACAUGCCAUCAAUCUGGCUUACAAAAUUGGUUCACAGGAGACCGAGAUGCUGGGUUAGAAUGUUUUUAGAUUGAUUGUAGGGUGGAUGCAGCAGUAGGGAUCUCUUGAAUCUGGAUGAUGUGCCGUUCAGGAGUGGCGGCGAAGGACAUCCGUGAGUUCUUGCUAAUCAUUAAAAAUAGGAAGCUUCAGUUCACAAGAAACCAAAUCUCUUUUAAUCUAUCAGUACUGCUUGGGCAACCUGAACGAUGUACUUUGGCUGGAGCACGAGCAGACUUAUUUCAUAUAAGUCUCUCUCUUUCUUACUUUUUUUGUGUGUGUGGUAGGACAGUACUUGUAAUAUAACAUACUAAUACUCCAAUUUUGGAGUUUGCAUACUGAUAGUCCAAAAUAAAAAAGGUACAUCAUACAUUUUUCUGGAGUUUUGAUCAAAAAUUCCAAAAAACGGCAGCCCAUUGAUAUUUGGAAAAGAGGUUUGAGGUGAACCAGAUCUUGAAGCAAGUUAAUUCUCAAUCAUGUGUCAGGCGUAUAACACUUCCUCGGGGUAACUGAAUUUAACAGUACGAAUAGCAUAUAUAGGUGGUUUCUGAUGGUCAUCACGAUACAUCAAACCAAACAAAUAGAACAUUUUUGUGAUGACAAAAUUACAGGAAGUCAGUAUGAUUCUACCUACAUCAAUCUACCAGAAGGUACAUGUUACAGUAAGCAACUGAAGGAUAUAUAAAAUCCUGUCAAACUCAUGCUCUUUUCAGAUUUCAGUUUCAAAAAGAUUCUGAAACAUAACAGACAUGUCACAAAAAGCCAUCAAAAGAAACCGAUCAAUCAAUCAGAUCAAAUUCUACUGACACGUCCAUCUCCCUUGUUCAUCCAGAAGGAAGCAGAAAUAGGUGUCCUAACAGCCAGCGAGACCAAGACAACCACAGGCGGCACGGCCGUCGGCCACACACCAAGAUUCCGGCUCCCACGGUCAGUCAACGUGGCUCUGCUAGAGGACAACCACAUGGGCGUCACACUGACUCGAAGACCACAUGCAUGUGGAGCAUGAUCAUGGUGGCAGACUCCGACGACCACGAGUGCAGCAACUCCGGCGGCCAACAAACUUGUGUAUGUGCUAGGUACUGUUGUGAAUAGAAGGAACAUGCAAGCUUGCUAUGAAUGUGACGAAAAAUGGCAUUGUAGACCUGUGAUGUCCUGACUUGAUUGAACUGGAAACAUAAAAGAAAAAAUGGGAGGGAGAUGAACAAUUGUCGAGCCGAAUGUGGUGUGUACUUGUAUUAGUUAAAACUGAUUCAUUUUCUGUACGAUUUUAUCUUUGAAAGAUGGUUGGAAGAGAAAUCUUAUUUACAUGUAGAUUAAUUCUGCAGAUGACUGGUCGUGUUUUUGCUUGUUUGCAAGCUGCAACAACUGAAUUUCUUUACUUUGCACAUGGAAUAUGUAGACCGGUGGAAUUUGACAGCAUAAUAGCAUCUGUAUAUUACAAAAUUUGAUAGGCCCCUGCAAUUUGACAGCAUAUUAGCAAUAUAUCAGAAAACUUGGCUGACCCAUGGUUUCUGCGACUCAAGAACAUGAAGAAUGAGUGAUUUCUGUUGCUCGAGAACAUGGCGAUUGAGGACCAGAUCGAGGGGAAGUAGGAAAAGAGGGGAGAUGAAUCGAUUAAUUACCUGAUGGUCAAGUCUACGCCACCUGUGGCCUGGUUGGUGUCGCUCGACCGGCCGGCUCCAAAUCCCUCCAUCUCCUGCGCCCGUCCACCGUCGCCCCGCUCUGGCGAGCUCCUGCCUAGGACGCCACACCUCCCCUCCUUUCUCCCUUCUUCUCUCCCUCACCUCCAUUCUUCUUUCCGCCCAGGAGCCGCAGAUGUCAUGGAUCCGCCCGGGAGGCCACGCCCCAGCCUUCCUCAUCGUCACUGGCGACCCCGGCGUCGCCGCCCGCCUCCGAAUCAGCCUCCCCAGCCCCUGCCGUGCACGGAUCUGGCCCGUGCAAGCAGCCACCGCCGUCGUUCCGCCGCC